CAUAUAAGAUCCAAUAAUAACUGAAACUCCUUCCCCGCCACUCGAACACAAAGCAAGAAUAGAUUUGGUGACCUCCGUCCUCCCCUCCCCUCCAACUCUCAGAGAAUGUCCUUGAGACUGUUAUCGCCACCAUGUUCCACUUGCUUUUCAAAAACCCAGCUAAAAAAAUUGUUUUUCUCGAACGCAAAUUCAAGUUAUCUGUGUUUUCAAUGGCCAUCGAAUGGUAACAGUGUGUUUUCUCGAAGGGGAGUUACAACAAAGGCGUGCGUUAAAUUGGAGGAAAAGAAUGUCCCAGAAACUUGCAGCGAGUGGGGGAAGGUUUCGGCAGUGUUAUUCGACAUGGAUGGAGUGCUGUGCAACAGUGAAGAGCUUUCUAGAAUGGCUGCCGUUGACGUGUUUGCUGAAAUGGGAGUACAAGUAACUGUUGAGGACUUUGUGCCUUUCAUGGGCACAGGAGAAGCCAAUUUUUUAGGAGGGGUUGCUUCUGUGAAGGGUGUUAAGGAAUUCAAUCCUGAGGAGGCAAAGAAGAGAUUUUUUGAGAUAUACUUGGAUAAGUAUGCGAAACCAAAUUCUGGCAUAGGUUUCCCUGGUGCCUUGGAACUUGUAACAGAGUGUAAGAGUAAUGGUCUCAAAGUUGCUGUUGCAUCCAGUGCUGAUCGCAUCAAGGUUGAAGCAAAUUUAGCAGCUGCUGGUUUGCCUUUAUCAAUGUUUGAUGCAGUUGUGUCUGCGGAUGCAUUUGAAAACUUGAAACCUGCUCCUGAUAUAUUUUUAGCCGCUUCAAUGAAUUUGAAUGUUCCCCCUAGUGAGUGUAUUGUGAUCGAAGAUGCAUUAGCUGGAGUAGAAGCUGCCAAAUCAGCAAACAUGAGAUGUAUAGCUGUAACGACAACAUUAUCAGAAGAUAUUUUGACGGAAGCUGGUCCAUCACUUAUCAGAAAAGAGAUAGGCAAAAUAUCACUAGAUGAUAUCAUCAAUGGUGGCUCUAGUUGGCAUAAUGCAAAGAUGCAGUUAUCACAGUCUAUCAGUGAUUCUGCACAAGGUUCCCUGAAUUCCAACUAUAGAGACAGUAGUUCAUUGCAGGAUAAUUCUCCAAGAGCUUUAGACUUCUCCUUUGGAGGGUUGCAGGGUUCUCGGCGAGAUAUUUUGAGAUAUGGAAGUUUGGGAAUUGCUAUCUCUUGCCUUCUUUUUACCAUAGCAAACUGGAAGGUAAUGCAAUAUGCAUCUCCUAAAGCUAUCUGGAAUUUGUUGUUUGGAGCCAGCAGCCCUCCGUUUGGACAGGAUAAAGGUCUUAAAUUUACAAGGAUGCCUCAUGUUGCUCUUUAUUAUUCUCGUUUCAUUAGAAUUCAACAAUUUACAAACUACAUAGCUGAUCUAGAGAAAAGGGGGAAUGCGACAAUUGUACCAGAGUUUCCUUCUAAACUUGACUGGUUGAAUACAGCUCCCCUUCAAUUACGCCGGGAUUUGAAAGGAAAGGUGGUUCUUCUCGACUUCUGGACCUACUGCUGCAUAAAUUGUAUGCACGUAUUGCCAGACCUAGAGUUUUUGGAGAAAAAAUAUAAAGAUAUGCCAUUUGUUGUUAUAGGGGUGCAUUCUGCAAAGUUUGACAAUGAGAAAGACUUGGAAGCCAUUCGCAAUGCAGUACUACGAUAUGGCAUCUCUCAUCCGGUUGUCAAUGAUGGUGAUAUGUAUUUAUGGCGAGAGUUGGGUAUAAAUUCAUGGCCUACAUUUGCCGUUGUUGGGCCAAAUGGAAAGCUGAUUGCACAAAUAUCUGGUGAAGGUCGCCGAAAGGAUCUUGACAAUUUGAUCGAAGCAGCUCUUCUCUUCUAUGGUAGAAAGAAAUUAUUGGAUAGCAGACCUAUUCCCUUGCGGUUGGAAAAAGAGAAUGAUCUUCGCUUGCUGACAUCCCCUUUGAAAUUUCCUGGUAAGCUGGAGGUCGACAUCCUCAACAACCGGCUGUUCAUUUCAGAUAGCAACCAUAACCGAAUAGUUGUCACUGACCUUGAUGGGAACUUCAUAAUGCAAAUUGGGAGCACUGGAGAAGAGGGUUUUCGUGAUGGUAGUUUUGAUGAUGCCAUGUUCAAUCGGCCACAGGGUCUCGCUUACAAUGCGAAAAAAAAUCUCCUGUAUGUAGCAGACACUGAAAACCAUGCUUUGAGGAUGAUUGAUUUUGUUAACGAGAUGGUGCAAACACUCUCUGGAAAUGGAACCAAAGGUUCUGACUACAAAGGUGGCAGAUCAGGAUCCACUCAGCUCCUCAAUUCGCCCUGGGAUCUUUGCUUUGAUCCUGUGAAUGAAGUUAUUUACCUGGCCAUGGCUGGCCAGCAUCAGAUCUGGGAACAUAAUACUUUAGAUGGUAUUACAAGAGCUUUUAGUGGUGAUGGUUAUGAAAGAAAUUUGAACGGUUCAAGUUCCGGAAGCACUUCAUUUGCACAACCUUCUGGAAUUUCAUUAUCUCCUGAUUCAAAGGAAGCAUAUAUUGCUGAUAGUGAGAGUAGUUCCAUUCGAGCACUUGAUCUAAGAACAGGGGGAUCGAGAUUACUUGCUGGGGGUGAUCCGGUUUUCUCAGACAACUUGUUUAGGUUUGGAGACCAUGAUGGAGUAGGCUCUGAAGUUCUUCUUCAACAUCCAUUAGGUGUCUUUUGUGGAAAGGAUGGUCAAAUUUAUCUAGCAGAUUCUUACAAUCACAAGAUUAAGAAGUUGGAUCCAGCUAGUAACAGAGUGAGUACCUUAGCAGGAACUGGAAAAGCUGGGUUCAAGGAUGGAAGAGCCCUAUCAGCACAGCUUUCAGAGCCUUCUGGAAUUGUUGAAGCCCAAAAUGGUAGAUUAUUUAUAGCCGAUACGAACAACAGCGUAAUCAGGUACUUAGACCUGAGGAAGGAAGAACCCGUACUUCUUACUUUGGAGUUGAAAGGAGUCCAGGCUCCGGCAUCAAAAUCCAAAUCUUUGAGGCGCCUUAGAAGGAGAUCUACAGCUGACACAGAGACUGUCAAAGUUAAUGGCGUUUCAUCCAAUGAGGGCAAAUUAUGUCUUAAGAUAUCAGUGCCAGAGGGUUACCACUUCUCGAAGGAAGCACGCAGUAAAUUCAGUGUAGAAGUUGAACCGGAAAAUUCAGCUGUUCUUAAUCCGGUGGAUGGGAACAUCAGCACUGAAGGAUCUGCAGUUGUACAAUUCAAAAGAUCCUCCCCAUCAUCUUCCAUGAGUAGAAUUUAUUGCAAGGAAAAUGCAAUUACUUUGCCCAAAAGCUAUAACUAAUGUGGGAGGUGCAAUCCAUCCUAUAUUACCCAAAAUCAGGCCAGGAAUCCACCUCAAGCCUUCAAGUACACCUUACGAAGGCGCCAUUGGGCCAUUCCCAAAUUGAGACCAUAGGCCCACCCCGUUUCAAGUAUGCUCUUGCAUUAGAUAAGAAUAAACUGAACGUAGUGAAAAUGAUGAAUCAUGUAGCCGAUCCCAAAUCAAUAGGAAGUGAGCCUUAGUUCCUUGUUAAAGAAAUGGAUCAGGUUUCCACUCAAUUUGGCCUCGGCAUACCCAUUCGAAUUUUGAAUGUAUACUACUGCAAGGAAGAUGAAGUUUGUUUAUACCAAUCUUUGACCUUCGAAGUACCUUUUCAAGAGGUCAUUCCAGAUGCUGCCCCUGUUGAGAUAAUGCUUCCAUAUGUCGUGAAACCUAAAACUUCC
RNA transcript from Olea europaea var. sylvestris, 3671 nucleotides. It is a transcript of the gene named protein SUPPRESSOR OF QUENCHING 1, chloroplastic, with no coding region annotated. The record is from RefSeq and is a predicted model, not a curated record. NCBI's taxonomy places the organism in Eukaryota, Viridiplantae, Streptophyta, Magnoliopsida, Lamiales, Oleaceae. The transcript has 29 exons.